CGCCUUUUUGCUAUGCGCAGAAUUUGAUGAUUCGAACCUGCAGCAGGUUCGGUGUUGAGCGUAGCGAAACAACGGAGCCGCUGGCGGCGACGGCCCCGAAGGGCGAGCGAAGCGAGUCAUCCUGCACGACCCACCA
Molecule: small RNA, 136 nt
Filed under: Citrobacter farmeri
Lineage: Bacteria; Pseudomonadati; Pseudomonadota; Gammaproteobacteria; Enterobacterales; Enterobacteriaceae
Also listed under: 1 other name
Description: RtT sRNA
Rfam family: RtT RNA
About the family: This family represents a bacterial cis-regulatory element known as RtT RNA. The exact function of RtT is unknown although it is thought that it may be involved in changing the cellular response in relation to amino acid starvation.
Source: RNAcentral